AAACCUGCCCUACUGCAACUUGAUCCAUUUCCCCUUGCUCUGUCACCAGUGAGAAGAGACCAGCCCUGCUCUCGCUGUAAGUACCUUUCAGAUAUUGGAGGAGUGCAAUAAGGUUUCCCCUCGGCCUCCCUUUUCCCCAGACCAAACAGCCCCAGUUCUUUCAGUCGCUCCUCAUAGGGCAGAUUCUCCAAGCCCUUCACAAGCCUUGUUGCCCUUAUUUGGACCAGAUUUAGACUGAAAGAGAAAGUUGAAAAGGUGAGAAAGUAAGUGGAUGGAAAUGGCUUUUAAGUAAAAUGGAUAUGUUCAUAAAGCAAUAGGAUGCUACCUUUCCCCUUAUGUCCCUCUCAAGCAGAGGGCUGGGCAAUCUACAGUAUUUCUUGUGUCACAGUGACAUGAGCUGAAACGCAUGAAGAUAGUGUCUUUAAACAAAGUGCUUGUGCUGACAUUCCAGGGUGUAAAUUCCUGCAUGCCAUUUAUUUUGCAUUAAGUGUAGUUUGUGUGAGUGGCAGAAGGGUGAGCCAAAAAAUAAUCCAUCCUACAAAUUAAUGAGUGACAGUGUGGUCAGCAGGGAAUCAAUCUGCACAUCACAGUAGAUAAGAGAAGCAGCACUAGGACAGGGAAGGCAGGACCAUGCCAGCAUUUGCUGCACAUCAGGUGGGAACAUGAGAACAAGAAAAAUGUCUGGGGAUGAGGGGCAUGAUGGAGGUACAUUACUGUUUUCUGACUAAGGAACAACAUUUCAUAAUACUUAGUCUCUACCUUUUCAAGCUGAAAAUCAUUACUACAUCAAAGUGAAUGCCUUGAUGCUAAUAGAGCAAAUGUUUCAAUUUAGAAUGUAAAUGAGAAAAAUGUGCAAAUUACAGGACUUUUAAAGAACCAAGUGGCUGAUUGUGAGUGGCUGUCUGGAUGGAGUUGAUCUUAGUUAAUACAUUGAUUUUGAUGUAACUAGAUAAGAAGUAAUGAACUUAGUUACUGAUUCUGACAAUUUGAAACAAAUCAUUCAACGCAUGUGCUGUGUUACACAUGAAGCACGUUUUAACGUGUGGGGGUGGGAUUUUUUUUGCAUGUAUGUUUGUUUCCAUCUUGUUUUUCAGCCUCUCCCCCUUGCUCCCCGCCCUCCUGUAGUACUGCGGUGUGCUCAGACUCUAACAAAGCACAGUGAGGCAAAGGCUGAAGUUCUCCUUGUUCAGCGCUGGAGCUAAGCUGGUUUCUGCCAGCCUGAGGAUCUCACCCUCUUCUUGACACACAGGUCCUGACCCUCGGCUCCAAGAGAAGGUCCAUACAUCCACACAGAACCCCCCGGACCUCAUGGAUCUCUCUGCACCAGCUGGAUUCUGCAGGUGUAUAUUUGCAGUAUCACAGUCAGCAACAGCAUAAGCCUGGUAAGUAAAGUGCCCUACUCGCAUUCAUUCAUAUUCUUUCAAACUGAGAUUUCAGACAGGCAAGUGAAGAUACACUUCAGUUUUAUUGUUGUUUAGGCAUGGAUAGAAACAUCAAUUCUUUUGCACUCUUGGUUCUUGAAACGUGCCUACAGUGAACGUGGAGCAGUGAAAAACGCGGCUCCUAGGACUGAAGAUUUAAAGUGCAUAGGAAAUCUAGCAGAAUCCCAAAGGAUGAGAAGGUCUUCUAAUUCCUUUCUCAUAGCUGUGGAAGCCGAAGGACGACUUCUCUUCCUCCACCACGCUCCCGAGACAGCGGUACCAACAUUUUCAACCCUUCCCUAUGCUUUCCCUGAUGGUCUUUGGAGGUUUCUUCUCUGUGUUUAAAAACUAUUUGUAGUGUUAUAAACAGACAGUUGAUUUUUGCAUACUCCUUCCCAGCACUCUGUUGCAACUUUUUCCUGUUUAGAGUCACGCCCACUGCGAUUGGUUAAAAAAACGUGUCUCACUUGGCAGUGUUCUUGCACCAAAAGAAAAAGAGAUAUAUUUGUAUAUAAAGUAACUUCUUUGUGUGUUCACAUUUUGUUUUGGAAAAAACAGGUGUUUAAAAAUUUUAGAAUUUUUUUAACAAAAUUCUAAGAAGAAAAAAAAAAACAAACCAAAAAAACAAAAAACCCAAAACCUCACAAUAUUUACAGAGAUAACAUAAUGGCUUAGCCAUGCAAAACAAAUCACUUUGGUUUUUCCCCCAUUUUACUUUGGUUUAAAUACUGACCAAGAUUAUAAUUUCUUUUUUUUUUCCCUUCUCUUUGCCAAAUAAAACAGCAACAAAUCAAAAGUUUAGAGGCCUAUAACAGGAUUUCCCUCUAGUAUUUUAUACAGCAUAGAGUCUAUAGGACUUCUUACGUAUUUAAUCCAUGCCAAUGCACUACAGGAAGCUUUUAUUAAGACAUCAGUCACUACUGCCCAGACAUAUAACAUUUUACAAAUUUACAAGUAACAGUGUUUUCUUCCCCCCCCUCCCUAAAUAAUGCAAAAGUGGCAAAAUACAUUUCCUAACAUCCGUCUCUUUCUUUUAGUUAUUUAUUUAUAUUCUUUUUUUGCCUACCAGUCUAUAAAAACAUACUUUUUUUUUUUUUUUUUACUUUUUUUUUCCCUGGAUAUUUGUAAAAGGAAACCUGAUGUUCUGCGUGCUUUGCUGUUCUUCUCCAUCAAUUCGCCUAUUGCUUUCUUCCUAAAAUGAUCCCUCCGCGCAGAAUGAAACUUCCCUCUCCGUUAACAACAAUUCUCCGUCAGCCAUUCACCCUAAGCCAUUUUCUUAUCAGUACCAUUCUAUAAAUUUUCUCAAGCGUAAAACAUGUUUAUAAAGUUACAAACUUGAAUGUAACUAAAGAUACGUAGACAUUUCAUUGUUACAAUUAUAUGUACUGUUUGAUAAAUUAGGUACCAGUUAAAAACACUAAAAUUAUCUCAAGGUGCAUUCAAUAUCUGUAGCAUAGUUAACAAAACACACAAAAAUAUAUAUAUAUUCUAUUUUUGUGGAAAAAAAUGCAGCUUUGAUAUGACCACUUCUUUUUAAAAAAAAAUCUCCAAUUCUGACUGGUAUCUCUUUGAAGUGAAGAAAAGGUACAGUACUUUAAGGCAGCGGAUAACGUAAAGGAAUCAAAAUCAAACCAGAAAUCCAGUUCCUUAUCCUAAUUCUAACACGAAGGACAACAGGUAAUGUAUGAGUAAAACACACUCCUUGCUAUAGCAGGAAAGGACCAUGGGCCACCAUCUGCACUAUGAGUGUUUCAUUGUGUUCCUUGCUCGGUCCCCAGCCUUCUCCAUAGAAACUUUUUACUCCCAUUCUGGCUGUUUGCUUUCCCUCAGCUUUCUUAAAUACUCACUGUUAUUAACAAUUCGGCUUAUUUUUGUCACAACUGUCACCUCUCCUCUUUACUGUGACUCCUAACAAUGAAAAAAGGAGAUCGAUAUUUGCCUUUAGGACAAUCUUACGCUUUAGGUAUUUGCUACAAAGCAGAGUAUUCACUGAUAACAAUCAGAAUUAGACAUGUACCUGCCCAAAGGGUGUCAUAAAAACAAUUGAAAUCAAACCAUUACACUAUACAUCAGAAUAACAGCAACUCCCAGAACAAA
Molecule: non-coding RNA, 3518 nt
Organism: Coturnix japonica (Japanese quail)
Lineage: Eukaryota; Metazoa; Chordata; Aves; Galliformes; Phasianidae
Source: RefSeq, a predicted model, not a curated record